CCUCUGGCUAACAGCAUUGCUACUCUAUAACGGAGUCAAUUUACUUUGCAACGUUAAUGUUUUAUUUAUUUGUGGAGACAAAUAACAAGCCUGAAGGGGUUCUGCCAUGUUGUGGAAUUGCUAAUGCUAACGGUUAUGCUAACAAUGUCUUUCCUGGACACUAAACCUGCAACAGACUUAUCCGUCACGAGCCAAGAUGGGUGAGACCCUGAAUGCUAAUUUAUAGUGUGACAUAGAUCUUACUGGCUUUUCCAAUUUGAGUGCGUCCCCGAUGGCUAAAGGAGGAAAUAAGAGUAGAAGACUAUUUUUACGUUUAGCCUGCACGUGAAACUCUGAGUGACUGAUCAUAUUUCCAAAAUAACAAGUAAAAAACUGGUUUGUCGGAUGUCAGUCAACGGGACAGUCUGCCGUGCACAGCUGAAAAUGAUGCAAAUACAUCCUUUUUCUAAACUAAAGACUUAAGUACCUCUAUCUGCUCAUGUCUCAAAGAAAAGCCCAAGUCCAAAUAGUCCAAAGUUUACGCCAAAGUCGUUUUAAACAAGCCGCAGCCAUCUUUGUUGUUUUGUUCCAUUGCAGCUCGUGCGAUGGAAGAUUUCUAGGCGAGAUGAUUCAAGAUUUUCUGAAAAAGAACGGGUGGCAAAAGGUCUGAGUUAUAUCUAGUCUUUAUGGAGUUUACAUGAAUGAAAUUAAACAGUCUUUGUUCCACUCCAAGGGGCUGGAGCGGGGGAAAUGGCUGCUCAUCAAAUCUUGGAUUGAGGUGGUUUCUGCUUCAUGUUGCUGGCAGCUCUUGCCCAUGAGGAUCACAGAUUUAGUGUGAAGCAGCUGAGAUGAUUAUCAGCACCUGAGCAUCUGAGGCCAUAGUCCUUUACAGGAAAGGGGUGUGUUGGGUGGAGGAGUUCAAAUAUCUUGUCAACUUAUUCACAAGUGAGGGAAGAAAGGGGGCAGGGGACAGGAGGAUUGGGGCAGCAUGUGCAGUAACCCGAAGGUUGACCUUUUGGUGAAGAAGGAGGUAACCUGGAAAGCAAAGCUCUCAGUUUAUCUGUCUAUGAUGUUUUUAGAAGUUUCACAUUCUAGUUGUCAGAACAUAGAGAGGUUUUGCAUAGUUUCUUGUUGUUGAGGUAAAUAUAGUGAUUUUUUCUGCCGGUUUUUAGUUGUGGCUGUCAGACUUUGCAACACUGAGAAUCUCCUGGAAGAUCUGAGAGGGCAAAUUUCAGAGCUCCAAACCCCCACCAGUUCAUCUGGUAUGACUCCUGAUGUCGACACCCUGGAGAGUCAUCUGAAUGUUCGUCUGGAGAUGCUGAAAACCAACAUUAAAGAUCAGGUUGCUGAGUUGGAAACAAAACUAAACUCCAGUCAGUCUCACUUGGAGGAACUGAGAAGCACUGCAGAGCGACUGGUUUCUGCAGAGAGUAGAUGGGAGGGGGUGGAAAGACAGCAAGAGGUACUCUACACAGGUAAGCAAUAUUUUCAUCAUCCUAUAAUUUUGCUUUUUGUUUCUAUGGAAAACACUGUUAAUCAUCAAUCGUGACAUUCCAAUGAAACAAUUUAGACUGACAAGUAAACUUUAAAUGAUCACCUAUCAAUAUUCACACAACCAAGAACAGGCUGUGAGGAACGUUUAUUCUUCAGAAACACUAUUUCUUUCAUGUACUUCUUCUUGCCAUUUAGGGAGCCUGAUAAAUCACAAUCCACUUUUAAUCUAAUUGGAAUUGAAGGAGGGACAUACACACUGGUCAGGUGUCAGGAAUGGAGUUGUAGUUGUUGUAGGAGGACCCAAAAUCCAGGAGGCAGCAUGGUUUUAUUUAUAAGCUGUGGAGCAGCUUGGCUCAACUGAUGUAUUUUAUCACCUGAAGGACAGAGUGAAGCUUGCAGUAGCUUUAAAGGCCAUAUUUUAUGGACUACCCAGCCUGAAAUGUAAGGAUCCUGACAGGUUCCCUGCGGAACUCCAUUGUUCAUGUUUACAGAGUUGAGUAGACUGAGAGCUAGUGAAAAACAGCUGGAAGACCUGAAAACCAUAAAUGCAGGCAAUAGGCGAUGUUUUCACAUUUACUGGAAGUUAAAUACUUAAAACUUAUGUGACAAAUAUUGAACCAAUUCAGCAAAUGUUGAAAAGAGUCAAAGCAGGUUUGUUCGGUAGAUGCUGAAGUCAGACUGAGAUCCACAGAGACCCAUCUGGACCAGCUGGAGACCCACACUGCAGCUCUGGAGAUCAGACUGAAGGUCGGCGAGAAACAUCUGGAAGAGCUGAAGACAGAAAACUCAGCUUAUGAAACCAAGCUGCUGGCUGUGACUGACAGACUGAACAUGACUGAGGAGCAGCUGGAUGAUGUGAGGACACGAAGCUCAGUCAGAGCUGCUGAGCUGGUUUCACUUUCAGACAGACUGGCUGAAGCUCAGAGAAACACUGAAGGUAACUCACUGAAACACCGUGUGCAUCAUGUUCACUAGCUAUAGAACAUAAGAGGUGUUUUCUCUCCAGAGCUAACAGUCAGACUUGGUCAGUGAGGCUAAUCGGACCAAGCUGAGGACAGACAAGGAGGUAUUUUAGAGUUAACCUUUGACCUUACGUUACACCUGACACUCUGGGCCCAGGUCCAUUAGCUUGUUCAUAGCAGUCAACCUGCUAUGAAAACAGUUGCUGGUGGUUUAGUCAUGGCUGCUGUUUAAGUACAAAUAAGAAAACAAAUCUAAAGGUUUACACUGUAAAAUCUGAAACAGCUAAAAAGUUUCAAAGGGUGUCAGCUUUAAGGGCAGCUUCAUGGGCUCUCCAGCCUGAAACUGAAGGAUCCUGAAAGGUUCUUGUAACGGUAUGAAAUGACUGUUUUCCACCAAAAGUCAUUUUCCCCCUCUCCUCUGACACAGGACUAGUCUGCAUGAGAUAUGGCCUCAA
Non-coding RNA from Nothobranchius furzeri (turquoise killifish), 2890 nucleotides. The record is from RefSeq and is a predicted model, not a curated record. Lineage: Eukaryota; Metazoa; Chordata; Actinopteri; Cyprinodontiformes; Nothobranchiidae.